RNAcentral lists this long non-coding RNA (1016 nucleotides) under Rattus norvegicus (Norway rat). RNAcentral describes it as "long non-coding RNA NONRATT013569". Lineage: Eukaryota; Metazoa; Chordata; Mammalia; Rodentia; Muridae. The record is from RNAcentral.
GGUGUUCCCCUGCUGGGCAGUGGAUGGGUGGGUUGAGGGCAGCAGAUUGCUCUUAUGGGCCAGUGAGACUGCUUCCACUUGGCCCGCCCACCUUCACUCCAGCGGCACGCGGGGGCGGGGUUGCCGCACCAUGGCAACCGGCCUCUGCGUCAGGGAAGUAAACUCCACCGGGCUUUCUAGUUUCCUCUCGCCACCAUCCCAAAGAGAUCUGAAGAUGUACAGCCAGCGGUUUGGCACUGUUCCAAGGGAAUUUAAGGGCCCUACUCCCAAAGCGGUGAUCAUAGUAAGUACAGGGGAUCUUUGCGCAGGGAAACUUAGGACUUUUUCAAUCUCCUGAUGGAGCCCGACCUGGCUGGGUUCCUUCACCUGGGACACAUCUGGGAUGCAGCGAGUUUUGAGGAAGAUAAGGUUGUUGCUCACCUAUCUAUCAUUAUAUCCAAACCCUUUCCCCCAACCCCCAGCUACAAUCACCACUUGGGACCUUGGUGUUUUUGUUUUUUCUUCAACAUUCCUCAAAUGAGAUCUGACUCCGUGCUGUGGGUGUGGAAGUAUUUUGGAAGGACACUAGGCCAGGAGGCAGUUUCCGUAUCUGUACUGCUUAUGGUUCAACAGUAUGACAUUGAAUUGGUCGUGUAACCCCAGGAAAAUAGUCUGUGGAAACAGAGUUGGGCUUUGAAUGCUGUGUGUGAUAAUUACGCUCCUUUGCUGGCUAAAUGAGUAACUGGCGUUGAACAGCAGUCCCCCUUCAGACCGGAAAUAAGCCAGGUAGUUGCCUCCUAGGACGGCCUGAUAAUUAGCCCAUAAGAAAGUAAUUUGAUGGGCUGGAGAGAUGGCUCAGUGGUUAAGAGCACUGUCUGCUCUUCCAGAGGUCCUGAGUUCAAUUCCCAGCAACCACAUGGUGGCUCAUAACCAUCUGUAAAGAGAUCUGAUGCCCUUGUCUGUACCUCGUGUGUAUCUGAAGACAAUUACAGUGGACUUAUAUAUAAUAAAUGAAUAAAUCUUUAAAAAAAAAAAAA